CAUGCAAGUCGAGCGGCAGCGCGAGUAGUUUACUACUUGGCGGCGAGCGGCGGACGGCUGAGUAACGCGUGGGAAUAUGCCCCAAAGUGAGGAAUAACUGCCCGAAAGGGUAGCUAACACCGCAUAUGAUCUUCGGAUUAAAGGAUUUAUCCGCUUUGGGAGUAGCCCGCGUACGAUUAGAUAGUUGGUGAGGUAAUGGCUCACCAAGUCGACGAUCGUUAGCUGGUCUGAGAGGAUGACCAGCCAGACUGGAACUGAGACACGGUCCAGACUCCUACGGGAGGCAGCAGUGAGGAAUCUUCCACAAUGGGCGAAAGCCUGAUGGAGCAACGCUGCGUGCAGGAUGAAGGCCUUCGGGUCGUAAACUGCUUUUAUAAGUGAAGAAUAUGACGGUAACUUAUGAAUAAGGAUCGGCUAACUACGUGCCAGCAGCCGCGGUCAUACGUAGGAUCCGAGCGUUAUCCGGAGUGACUGGGCGUAAAGAGUUGCGUAGGUGGUUAGUAAAGCGAAUAGUGAAAUCUGGCGGCUCAACCGUACAGGCUAUUAUUCGAACUCACUAACUCGAGAAUGGUAGAGGUAACUGGAAUUUCUAGUGUAGGAGUGAAAUCCGUAGAUAUUAGAANGAACACCAAUGGCGUANGCAGGUUACUGGACCAUUUCUGACACUGA
Molecule: ribosomal RNA, 669 nt
Filed under: uncultured bacterium
Lineage: Bacteria
Description: bacterial SSU rRNA
Rfam family: Bacterial small subunit ribosomal RNA
Source: RNAcentral